ACACCAAUAUCAACUGUCUGAGAUCUUUCUCCCAGGAUCAACUGAUUGGGCAAAGAAAAAGUGGAAAUAUUCCUCCUUUGAGAGCCAUUUGGAGGAAACCUUAAACCCUUGUCCCUUUGUUAACCACAGUUCUCUGGCUAAUUCACAUUAGAGACUGCAACUUGAGCCCCAAGGAAGUGGAAGAAAAACAACGAAAAACAUUCUCAAACACCACGGUUACCCAAUGACUUUAGCAAGGAGACUCUGCUGCUGCAUAAGCAGCAGCAACAACACCACACCCCCUUAUGGAAAGUUACAGAAGCUGUACCAUUGGCACUACUAAUGCUCUGUUCCUUGUGAUGGCUCUACAAACAUUUUGAAGAACAUUAUGAGGGAAGUGAGGAUCUCUUUAAUGACAUGGCCACUUCCCAGCAACAAAACCCGGAAGCAGAACUCUGAAAAGUGACUCCACAAGAGAUACAGAUGGCAGAGCCAGCUCCUGAGACCAAGAGGAUAGGUAGCAUAGACACACCCUUGGGCAAAUCACUUGAGAGCAUCUCAACAUGUUCUACAGUGUCACAUACCGCUGGCAGCGCACCCAAAGGAUCCAGUGAGGACCAAUGGAAGCAUCAACUGACAGCUGUUGUCGUGGGAAAGAAAGUUAAAAAGACAAGCUGGAUAGUUACACUCAUGAACAUAAGACACAAUGGCCAUCAGGAGAAGAAAUAUCGGUUCUUGACUUGAACACUUUUACAUUGGAAAAGGGCUGGCAAAGAUUUCUGAAGAAAAAGCAUUCGUGGUGUCAAAAAAGCAAAGACUGUGACUGAUGAAAUCAUACAGACACAUACUGAAGGUAAUGCGGCGAUAUCAAAUUGUAGGCAAAUUUGGAGCAAAAUGCUAAAAGUUAACAGGCAAACAAGGUAGAAUUUGGCAAUCUACCCCUAAAUAAAUAAGCUAUUUCUCUUUUUGUGAAACUUGUUUCCUAAACAGCAUGGUAGAUAUAUGCACUGAGCAACGCUAGUCCUAGAAGGAGUUACAUGAAGAAUGUUUUCAUUAAACUUUUUAUCUUCUCUAUACAAAUUAAAUUGGGACUUCUACUCUGGGUUAAUGAGGGUGCGCACAGGAAAGUGAUGGAUGGCUGGUGAAAGACCCUGUGUGAAAGGCAGGGAUGCGAAGAUCUCCCAGGGUGGGAGGCUGGGAGAAGAAAGGUGAGAGAAGAGUCCACCCCCUUCUGUGUGAGACAUGGGUUGAGAUCUGCCUUUGAGAG
This is a long non-coding RNA of Podarcis muralis (Common wall lizard), 1246 nucleotides long. RefSeq lists it as uncharacterized. NCBI's taxonomy places the organism in Eukaryota, Metazoa, Chordata, Lepidosauria, Squamata, Lacertidae. The record is from RefSeq and is a predicted model, not a curated record.